AGAUAGUUCUUUUUCAAGGACCUUUCUUUCUCCUCCAUCUUCUCUAACCCUAACUCUAACCCUAAUCUUCAUCUUCCUACCAACAUGUCCCACUUUGGAAGGUCCGGUCCUCCAGAUAUUACAGAUACCUACUCGCUUCUCGUGCUCAAUAUCACCUUCCGUACCACUGCUGAUGACCUCUACCCGCUUUUCCACAAGUAUGGUAAGGUUGUCGAUAUCUUCAUCCCCAGAGAUCGAAGGACUGGUGAUUCUAGAGGUUUUGCAUUUGUGCGUUACAAGUAUGCAGAUGAGGCUCAGAAAGCAGUGGAGAGGCUAGAUGGCACUAUGGUUGAUGGACGAGAGAUAACUGUUCAGUUUGCAAAAUAUGGUCCAAAUGCAGAAAGGAUUCACAAAGGAAAGAUCAGUGAAGCAUUUCCAAAGUCAAGAUACAAGUCUAGAAGUCGCAGUCCACGGAGACGAUAUCGGGAUGAUUAUAGAGAUAGGGAUUAUAGAAGGAGAAGUCGCAGCAGAAGUAGAAGCAGAAGCUUCGAUAGGAGUGAUCGUGAUAGGCGUGGAAGAGAAAAGGAGAGGGAAAGAGAAUAUCGCAGGCGAAGCCGGAGCAUCAGCCCUAGGCGACCAAGUCCUGAUUACUCCAAAGGGAGAGGAAGAGGACGAUAUGAUGAUGAGCGUAGAAGUCGUAGUCGCAGCCGCAGCCGCAGCCGAAGUCGUGGCCGUAGUCGUUCCGUGGAUAGUGGUUCUCCUGGUAGACAAAGCCCUAGUCCAAGGAGGAGUCCAUCUCCUCGAAGGAGUCUCUCUCCUCGAAGGAGUCCAUCUCCCAGGGGUGGAAGUCCUGAAAGAAAUGGUAAUGGUGGUGGAAGGUCUCCAACUUCUAGGAGUGUUUCACCGCGAGGUCGACCUACUGAUUCACGAAGCCCAUCUCCACAAAAUUCAGAUGUUGAUAAGUGAAUACUGAUGGGAGGAGACCUGUGGACAUGACCGAGCAGUGCAGGAAUGAAUGCUUUGAGGACUUGUUGAUUAAAAAUGUUAUCAGACUAUAAGUUCUAGUUUUGUUAUGUUCGGGGUAAGAGUGACUGGCGCCUGAUUGGCGGAUGUUGAUUUUGUGGCUGUUGAUGCUGUUUCUAUAUGAUAGAUGAUGGGUGAUCGUGACUUUGAUGCUGGUUGCAGCAGUUUGCUGACUUUAUCAGUAUGAUUGUCUAUGCAGUAUGAUGUUGCUGUGGACAGUGUCUAAACUAAUAUUCACUGGAUAAAAUGAUUGGUAAGUUUUGAAAGCACAUCACCCGCAAGGAGAUCUAGAGGCUUUGAUAUAUAGGUUUGACCCCCCCUCCCCGAUGUUGAUUGAUGUUGCUUACUCAUAGCUGAUGAUGCAUUUGAGGUUACUAUCCCAAACAUUUAGAUCAAUCUCUUGCUGCUUGAUGUGGUGACUGACUUAUUAUAGCUUUUGGAUUACACGAUUGUUGCUGUGGUGUUUGAUAGCAGAUACCUUUAUUGAUGUACGAUAGACAUGAGUUCGAUUGAUUGAUUCUGAAGUGCUAAACUCUGUAGCUGGCUGUUGCUGCCCUUGUGGGGUGAGGCUGGCAAUGAUGUUUCAGUUGCUUUUACAAUGGGUGCAUUGAUGUUUGCUUUCCUCAAAAUAAGGUUCUGCAUGUAUUAUGGUUUACAUCACUUAUGUAAGAAUUUAUUUAAUAAAAAUUCUAAUAUCGAUUUGCAAAA
Non-coding RNA from Benincasa hispida (wax gourd), 1710 nucleotides. The record is from RefSeq and is a predicted model, not a curated record. NCBI's taxonomy places the organism in Eukaryota, Viridiplantae, Streptophyta, Magnoliopsida, Cucurbitales, Cucurbitaceae.